GUUGAACGCUGGCGGCAGGCCUAACACAUGCAAGUCGAGCGGAUGAAGGGAGCUUGCUCCUGGAUUCCGCGGCGGACGGGCGAGUAAUGCCUAGGAAUAUGCCUCGCCGUGGGGGAUAACGUCCGGAAACGGGCGCUAAUACCACACACGUCCUGAGGGAGAAAGUGGGGGAUCUUCGGACCUAAUGCUAUCUGCUGAGACUAGGUCGGAUUAGCGAGCUGGUGGGGUAAAGGCCUACCAAGGCGACGUUCCGUAUCUGGUCUGAGAGGGUGAUCAGUCACACUGGAACUGAGACACGGUCCAGACUCCUACGGGAGGCAGCAGUGGGGAAUAUUAGGCAAUGGGCGAAAGCCUGAUCCAGCCAUGCCGCGUGUGUGAAGAAGGUCUUCGGAUUGUAAAGCACUCUAAGUUGGGAGGAAGGGCAGUAAGUUAAUACCUUGCUGUUUUGACGGUACCAACAGAAUAAGCACCGGCUAACUUCGUG
Molecule: ribosomal RNA, 484 nt
Filed under: uncultured bacterium
Lineage: Bacteria
Description: partial 16S ribosomal RNA
Rfam family: Bacterial small subunit ribosomal RNA
Source: RNAcentral